RNAcentral lists this ribosomal RNA (484 nucleotides) under uncultured bacterium. RNAcentral describes it as "partial 16S ribosomal RNA". It matches the Rfam family "Bacterial small subunit ribosomal RNA", at positions 29 to 507 of the family's 1533-position model. The record is from RNAcentral.
AUUGAACGCUGGCGGCAUGCUUUACACAUGCAAGUCGAACGGCAGCGCGGGCUUCGGCCUGGCGGCGAGUGGCGAACGGGUGAGUAAUGCAUCGGAAAGUGCCCAGUAGUGGGGGAUAGCCCGGCGAAAGCCGGAUUAAUACCGCAUACGACCUGAGGGUGAAAGCGGGGGACCGAAAGGCCUCGCGCUAUUGGAGCGGCCGAUGUCGGAUUAGCUAGUUGGUGGGGUAAAGGCUUACCAAGGCGACGAUCCGUAGCUGGUCUGAGAGGACGACCAGCCACACUGGGACUGAGACACGGCCCAGACUCCUACGGGAGGCAGCAGUGGGGAAUUUUGGACAAUGGGGGCAACCCUGAUCCAGCCAUGCCGCGUGCGGGAAGAAGGCCUUCGGGUUGUAAACCGCUUUUGUUCGGGAAGAAAUCCUCUGGGCUAAUACCCCGGGGGGAUGACGGUACCGGAAGAAUAAGCACCGGCUAACUACGUG